RNAcentral lists this transfer RNA (73 nucleotides) under Pomacea canaliculata. RNAcentral describes it as "tRNA-Lys". It matches the Rfam family "tRNA". From Rfam's summary of the family: Transfer RNA (tRNA) molecules are approximately 80 nucleotides in length. Their secondary structure includes four short double-helical elements and three loops (D, anti-codon, and T loops). RNAcentral also lists the same sequence under 1 other name. Lineage: Eukaryota; Metazoa; Mollusca; Gastropoda; Architaenioglossa; Ampullariidae. The record is from Rfam by way of RNAcentral.
GCCCGGUUAGCUCAGUCGGUAGAGCAUCAGACUUUUAAUCUGAGGGUCGUGGGUUCAAGUCCCACAUCGGGCG